GCGGCUGGAAGAGCACCG
RNAcentral lists this small nuclear RNA (18 nucleotides) under Arabidopsis thaliana (thale cress). RNAcentral describes it as "snRNA_00282". Lineage: Eukaryota; Viridiplantae; Streptophyta; Magnoliopsida; Brassicales; Brassicaceae. The record is from RNAcentral.